Molecule: unclassified non-coding RNA, 249 nt
Filed under: uncultured fungus
Lineage: Eukaryota; Fungi
Description: partial contains 5.8S ribosomal RNA, internal transcribed spacer 2, and large subunit ribosomal RNA
Rfam family: 5.8S ribosomal RNA (bases 1-52)
Source: RNAcentral
AACGCACAUUGCGCCCGCCAGUAUUCUGGCGGGCAUGCCUGUCCGAGCGUCAUUUCAACCAUCAAGCCCGCGGCUUGUGUUGGGGAACUGCGGGCUGCCCGCAGGCCCCGAAAUGCAGUGGCGGGCCCGCCGUCACACCGAGCGUAGUAGAACAAGCCUCGCUCAGGGCGUGCCGCGGGUCCCGGCCGUAAAACAGCCUCUCAGCGCUAGGUUGACCUCGGAUCAGGUAGGAGGACCCGCUGAACUUAA